GUGGGGAAUCUUCCGCAAUGGACGAAAGUCUGACGGAGCAACGCCGCGUGAGUGAUGAAGGUCUUCGGAUUGUAAAGCUCUGUUAAUCGGGACGAAAGAGCCUAGUGUGAAUAAUGCUAGGAAGUGACGGUACCGGAAUAGAAAGCCACGGCUAACUACGUGCCAGCAGCCGCGGUAAUACGUAGGUGGCAAGCGUUGUCCGGAAUUAUUGGGCGUAAAGCGCGCGCAGGCGGAUCUGCCAGUCUGUCUUAAAAGUUCGGGGCUUAACCCCGGGAUGGGAUGGAAACUACAGAUCUAGAGUAUCGGAGAGGAAAGUGGAAUUCCUAGUGUAGCGGUGAAAUGCGUAGAUAUUAGGAAGAACACCAGUGGCGAAAGCGGCUUUCUGGACGACAACUGACGCUGAGGCGCGAAAGCCAGGGGAGCAAACGGGAUUAGAUACCCGGGUAGUCC
RNAcentral lists this ribosomal RNA (450 nucleotides) under uncultured bacterium. Its description in RNAcentral is "partial 16S ribosomal RNA". It matches the Rfam family "Bacterial small subunit ribosomal RNA", at positions 354 to 796 of the family's 1533-position model. The record is from RNAcentral.